GAGGCUUAGUCAACGAAGAGUCACGAGUGAAGCUUCAGCAUCGGAGGUCGUUCGAAGUACCAUUGUCGCACUGCAGCACCAUCGUCGGAGGUAUUUGGGGACAAACAUGGCAACAUCUUACAUUUAUACGAAAGAGACUGCAGUGUGCAGAGAAGACAUCAGAAAAUAAUUGAAGAAGCUCCAGCUCCCAAUGUCCUGAAUGACAUUCACUCUCAUGUGGGUCAUGCUGCUGUAUGUGCGGCCAAGUUGAUGGACAACGAUUGGGGCCAGAAUAAUGGAAAGUUCAUAUUACGAAGGCGAUAAAGCCUCGUCAAAAUUUGGUGAAAGGUCAUCAAGGUGUCAAAACAAUUGGAGAUGCACUUCACAAAUGUGUAGCUUGGCCUUCAGUUGAUAUUGAGGAUCCACUUGCAGACUAUAGAUUGAGGGGAGUUAGAUAGACCAUGUAGAUAAUGCCCAUGCUUUUUGGAACUCUUAUUUUGGCGCUUGUGUUUUUAGACAAAUAUUUUGGAACUAGUUGCUACAUUUGCAGAUUGAAGGGAGCUAAAUGGACCACGUUGAUGAUACACAUGCUUUUUGGGACUUUUUAUUUUGGCACUUGUGUCUUGAGACAAACAUUUUGGAACUAGUUGCUGUGUUUGCAGAUUGAGGGAGCUAAAUGGACCAUGUAAAUGAUGCACAUGCUUUUUGGGACUUUUAUUUUGGCACUUGCGUUUUGAGACAAAUAUUUUGGAACUAAUUGCUACAAGUGAAAUGUAUUUUGGAACUAAUUGCUAUGUGUUUCAUGUAUUUUGGAACUUUGCUACAUGUGACAUGUGUUUUGGAAUAGAUUUUGAAUA
Camellia sinensis is the source of this 836-nucleotide non-coding RNA. Lineage: Eukaryota; Viridiplantae; Streptophyta; Magnoliopsida; Ericales; Theaceae. The record is from RefSeq and is a predicted model, not a curated record.